This 492-nucleotide ribosomal RNA is filed under the name uncultured bacterium. RNAcentral's name for it is "partial 16S ribosomal RNA". It matches the Rfam family "Bacterial small subunit ribosomal RNA", at positions 29 to 507 of the family's 1533-position model. The record is from RNAcentral.
AGUGAACGCUGGCGGUAGGCCUAACACAUGCGAGUCGAACGGCAGCACAGUAAGAGCUUGCUCUUACGGGUGGCGAGUGGCGGACGGGUGAGGAAUACAUCGGAAUCUACUUUUUCGUGGGGGAUAACGUAGGGAAACUUACGCUAAUACCGCAUACGACCUACGGGUGAAAGCAGGGGAUCUUCGGACCUUUCGCGAUUGAAUGAGCCGAUGUCGGAUUAGUUAGUUGGCGGGGUAAAGGCCCACCAAGGCGACGAUCCGUAGCUGGUCUGAGAGGAUGAUCAGCCACACUGGAACUAAGACACGGUCCAGACUACUACGGGAGGUACCAGUGGGGAAUGUUGGACAAUGGGCGCAAGUCUGAUCCAGCAAUACCGCGUGUGUGAAGAAGGCCUUCGGGUUGUAAAGCCCUUUUGUUGGGAAAGAAAAGCAGCAGGUUAAUACCCCGCUGUUCUGACGGUACCCAAAGAAUAAGCACCGGCUAACUUCGUG